GAUGAACGCUGGCGGCGUGCCUAAUACAUGCAAGUCGAGCGAACGGACGAGAAGCUUGCUCCUCUGAUGUUAGCGGCGGACGGGUGAGUAACACGUGGAGAACCUACCUAUAAGACUGGGAUAACUUCGGGAAACCGGAGCUAAUACCGGAUGAUAUUUUGAACCGCAUGGUUCAAAAGUGAAAGACGGUCUUGCUGUCACUUAUAGAUGGACCCGCGUUGCAUUAGCUAGUUGGUAAGGAAACGGCUUACCAAGGCAACGAUGAUUAGCCGACUUGAGAGGUGGACCGGCCACACUGGACCUGAGCCACGGUCCAGCCCCUUACGGGGGCCACCGGUAGGGAAUCUUCCGCAAUGGGCGAAGUCCUGCCGAAGAAACGCCGCGUGAGUGAUAAAGGUCUUCGAAUCGUAAACCUCUGUUAUUGGGGAAAACCAUAUGUGUAAGUAACUGUGCACAUCUUGACGGUACCUAAUCAGAAAGCCACGGCUAACUACGUG
RNAcentral lists this ribosomal RNA (497 nucleotides) under uncultured bacterium. RNAcentral's name for it is "partial 16S ribosomal RNA". It matches the Rfam family "Bacterial small subunit ribosomal RNA", at positions 28 to 507 of the family's 1533-position model. The record is from RNAcentral.